This 253-nucleotide ribosomal RNA is filed under the name uncultured bacterium. RNAcentral's name for it is "partial 16S ribosomal RNA". It matches the Rfam family "Bacterial small subunit ribosomal RNA", at positions 524 to 776 of the family's 1533-position model. The record is from RNAcentral.
UACGAAGGGGGCUAGCGUUGUUCGGAAUUACUGGGCGUAAAGCGCGCGUAGGCGGCUUUGUAAGUUAGAGGUGAAAGCCCGGAGCUCAACUUCGGAAUUGCCUUUAAGACUGCAUCGCUUGAAUCAUGGAGAGGUCAGUGGAAUUCCGAGUGUAGAGGUGAAAUUCGUAGAUAUUCGGAAGAACACCAGUGGCGAAGGCGACUGACUGGACAUGUAUUGACGCUGAGGUGCGAAAGCGUGGGGAGCAAACAGG